Molecule: long non-coding RNA, 885 nt
Organism: Gymnogyps californianus (California condor)
Lineage: Eukaryota; Metazoa; Chordata; Aves; Accipitriformes; Cathartidae
Exons: 4
Source: RefSeq, a predicted model, not a curated record
CAGCAGGGCUCAGAAGCAGCUCACCUCAUGUAUGCUUCUCCUUUGAAGUCAAGUGGAGCCUUGUUGGAAAAGGGUAUUACAAGGGCCUGGUAGCAAGCUGCUUGCACUGAUAUCCCAAUGGAGGAGGUGAGCUGGCUGGGAGAAGAAAAUGAACAGUUCUAUUUAUGCAGCAAGUCUAAUGGUGGUGGAGCAAGGUUCAUGAUGCACAUGCAGGCACUUGCUCUGACAGCGCCGGCUGCACUGUGGUGCUUGGGACCAACAUGUGCUCAGAGCCAUGUGAACCCAACUCCUGAUUAGACCCACUCAACAGAAAGGGCUCAUGUUCUGAUGUGAAAAGGGAGUCCUGCCAAGUUUACAAGAAAGAGAGGAUGACUCCUUCCCCCCCUCAACGCUAGUUAGGUGCCGAAGUCUCCCUGCUGCUCCUGACAUUGGUGCCCAGUGCUUUUGGGGGGUUAGAUAACUGGAUUGUGUUAUUUUUUGGACAAAAAUGAAAACUAGCGAGGAAGGGACAACUGUGGAGUCCCCGUGCUAGAUCUGGAGUCUUUCAAGUCUGGAUAUAAAAGCGAUGGUGUGCACAAACCUUGGCUUGGUUUCUGUAAAAAUUCGUUCUGAAAAGGGUUUUAUAUUUAUCCUCCCAUCUUUCUUCUAGUUACCAAAACACGCUCUCUCAACCCAGAUAAUUAAAAAUGCACACACAUCCCAAGAGCAGAGCUAUUCUGAAAGCAGCUCUGGUGCAGCCGAGCAUGCCCACUUCUGUGUGUUACCCUUUGAACUUCAUAAGAGCCAAAGAGAAUCAUUUUCAGACAGCGAUGAAUAGCUUAUACUCCCAUUUGUUUGCUCGGUGUCUUGCUUUAAGAAAAUGUGAACACUUUUGCUGGCUGUAAA